Molecule: ribosomal RNA, 468 nt
Filed under: uncultured bacterium
Lineage: Bacteria
Description: partial 16S ribosomal RNA
Rfam family: Bacterial small subunit ribosomal RNA
Source: RNAcentral
GACGAACGCUGGCGGCGUGCUUAACACAUGCAAGUCGAACGGAAAGGCCCUGCUUUUGUGGGGUGCUCGAGUGGCGAACGGGUGAGUAACACGUGAGUAACCUGCCCUUGACUUUGGGAUAACUUCAGGAAACUGGGGCUAAUACCGGAUAGGAGCUCCUGCUGCAUGGUGGGGGUUGGAAAGUUUCGGCGGUUGGGGAUGGACUCGCGGCUUAUCAGCUUGUUGGUGGGGUAGUGGCUUACCAAGGCUUUGACGGGUAGCCGGCCUGAGAGGGUGACCGGCAACAUUGGGACUGAGAGACGGCCCAGACGCCGACGGGAGGCAGCAGUGGGGAAUAUUGCACAAUGGGCGGAAGCCUGAGGCAGCAACGCCGCGUGCGGGAUGACGGCCUUCGGGUUGUAAACCGCUUUCGCCGGUGACGAAGCGUGAGUGACGGUAAUGGGUAAAGAAGCACCGGCUAACUAGGUG